Cryptotermes secundus is the source of this 1607-nucleotide long non-coding RNA. RefSeq lists it as uncharacterized. NCBI's taxonomy places the organism in Eukaryota, Metazoa, Arthropoda, Insecta, Blattodea, Kalotermitidae. The transcript has 2 exons. The record is from RefSeq and is a predicted model, not a curated record.
CAUAUUUAGGAAUUUAUUCAAUGUCCAUACAACAAAAUGCAGACAAAUGCAUAUAUCAAGAUUCUGUUCACUACUCACUGUAUUCAAGAACAAGAAAGGUGAGACACUGACUGAUAAAACCCUGUAUGAAUCCAUUAUUCUGGCUACAUUUAUUCAGUUACAUAUUAAUAUUUCUCUCACAUUUUGCUAUCUCAAAUAUAUUUUAUAACAUGUUAGAAUAUCUAAACAACUGCAUUCAUUGAAAAAGAUGUAACCAAACACUCAUACACACACCAUUUACAACAGAUAUCUUUACUCUGGAAUAAGUUAACAAUAAUUCUCUCAUUACAUAACUACAUAAUAAUAAAAAAAAUCUUUCAUUUCCAGAAAGUGACAGUUUCCUUAUUUUUCUCUACUGCAUAUGGCAGAAAUUUCUAGUAUCUACACUUAUUCCAGAUACAAGAAGAAACAGCUGUUUUAUGAGUACUGAAAGCACUGUAGACACUUCUUUGCAAUGGUGCAGACAUGCACUGUCAGUGAUAUGCUCUUUCUACAUCUGACAAACAAAAUAAGAAAUUAAUCUGAGGUAAAUGACCGGAUAUUGAUUAUAGCUGGAUUGUUUAGUAGUAUAAAGCAUCCUGCAUGCUGUUCAGUGUCUGCAGCAUGGAUAAUACAGUUCAGGAACAACAUCCUCCAUUAAUACUUCCACUUCACGAAAAAGCCUCUUCCAUGCUUCUCACUUCACGCGUAAGUGCUGAAAUGUAUGGGUAUUAACCCUUUCCCUGGUCUCUUACAAAUCUUCUCUCAUUUUGUCUUCCCAGUGCCAAUUUGUUUACCAACUGAAAUUUUAUAUUUUUAAGAAAUCCUACUGUUGGCCAUCCAUAACACUCAUCCCUAAUUUAACCACAUUUCUUGUGAGAAUAAGAAAAAAAAGUUUUAACAUACUCUUGGAUGAAGAAUUACUUGACACUUUAAAACUUUGCCUUAUGCCUUUGUUCUGUCAAUGAUGUAUAGGACUUUGGAUUAUUGAACAUCAUCUGGUAUUCUCUACAACACAAUGUUUUGGGAAUUGGGUCCGUUCCAGUCCACAGAUGAAAGGGUGGGAGGCACCUACAAUGUCUGAUCCAUCAGACAGAGCUAGCCUCAAUCACUGGACCAGUCAGAGAUUCAACAAAGCAGUGUCCCACACCCUUCUAUAUGAGAACAGAAAAAGACCAAGUUUCCAAAAAUCUGUUUUUUUUAGAGUACAAGACCCUGGGUGAAGUCCAAAAAUUCAGUUUUAAUUUUCAAUAAUUAAAAAAAGAGUCAGUAAAAUUAGUCUACUAAUCCAUAAUAGCUAUUAGUUUAAAAGAUACAGACUGCGAUGGAUUUAUAUACAUACAAAUUCAGGGCAUUUUACAUUGAGGAACUUCAGGAUUUACAGUGGAACCCCUAUUUCAUGUUUUUUUGGGAGCAGUAGACUUGAACACUAAACUGAGGUUGAUCACAAAUGUGUGAAAUCUAACACUAAGAUUAUUGACUUAGGAAUGCUAUAACUAUUAGAUCAGGGAACAUCUUAAAUCAAGAAACAUUAACAGGAGGUCUACUGCAUACAGGUCACUUAAUAUUCUUUGGAUAAUUAUAUUUAG